Austrofundulus limnaeus is the source of this 343-nucleotide long non-coding RNA. RefSeq lists it as uncharacterized. The record is from RefSeq and is a predicted model, not a curated record. Lineage: Eukaryota; Metazoa; Chordata; Actinopteri; Cyprinodontiformes; Rivulidae. The transcript is spliced from 3 exons.
AUAUCACCUCUUCCUCAAAAUAGAAACUUAAAACACCUCUGUUCUCUUUUCUCCCCCUCAUAGUCUGAAACAGAGUUAAGAUACAGCUAAAUCAGACAGUUAAAAUAAGUUAAAAGUUGAAAACUUACCUUUGUUGUUAUUUGUGCUCUGUCUCACAAAUCACCACCCGCUCUCCACCUGGGAGGGAGCUGUAAUGGAUGCGCGCACGUGAGCCCAGAGCAUGGCUGCUGGAUCGGCCAGAGCAGGCGCGUAUCGGCCGAUACCGAUACAAAGGAAAAACGUGAAUAUCGGGCAAAAAUAUCGGCCGGCCGAUGUAUCGGUCGACCCCUACAUUACAGUAAUG